AAUCAACGCUGGCGGCGUGCCUCAGACAUGCAAGUCGAACGCGAAAGUUUCCUUCGGGGAACAAGUAGAGUGGCGCACGGGUGAGUAACACGUAGGUAAUCUACCUUUGGAUGGGGAAUAACAAUCGGAAACGAUUGCUAAUACCGCAUAAUGCAGCGGCACCUAAUGGUGACAGUUGUUAAAGCGGGGGAUCGAAAGACCUCGCGUCUGAAGAGGAGCCUGCGGCGGAUUAGCUAGUUGGUAAGGUAACGGCUUACCAAGGCUACGAUCCGUAACCGGCCUGAGAGGGGCGGUCGGUCACACUGACACUGACAUACGGGUCAGACUCCUACGGGAGGCAGCAGUCGGGAAUUUGGGCAAUGGGCGAAAGCCUGACCCAGCAACGCCGCGU
Molecule: ribosomal RNA, 391 nt
Filed under: uncultured bacterium
Lineage: Bacteria
Description: bacterial SSU rRNA
Rfam family: Bacterial small subunit ribosomal RNA
Source: RNAcentral